AUUGAACGCUAGCGGGAUGCUUUACACAUGCAAGUCGAACGAGUGGCGGACGGGUGAGUAAUAUCUCGGAACGUGCCCAGUGGCGGGGGAUAACUACUCGAAACAGUGGCUAAUACCGCAUACUAUUGGAUGUGCCGAUAUGGGAUUAGCUAGUUGGUGGGGUAAAGGCUCACCAAGGCAACGAUCCCUAGCUGGUCUGAGAGGACGACCAGCCACACUGGGACUGAGACACGGCCCAGACUCCUACGGGAGGCAGCAGUGGGGAAUAUUGGACAAUGGGGGAAACCCUGAUGCAGCCAUCCCGCGUGUAUGAGAAGGCCUUCGGGUUGUAAAGUACUUUCGGCAGAGAAGCGGUAUCUGCAGAAUAAGCACCGGCUAACUACGUGCCAGCAGCCGCGGUAAUUC
Molecule: ribosomal RNA, 405 nt
Filed under: uncultured bacterium
Lineage: Bacteria
Description: partial 16S ribosomal RNA
Rfam family: Bacterial small subunit ribosomal RNA
Source: RNAcentral